Molecule: ribosomal RNA, 511 nt
Filed under: uncultured bacterium
Lineage: Bacteria
Description: bacterial SSU rRNA
Rfam family: Bacterial small subunit ribosomal RNA
Source: RNAcentral
CGCUGGCGGCGUGCCUAAUACAUGCAAGUCGAACGCACUCUCGUUUAGAUUGAAGGAGCUUGCUCCUGAUUGAUAAACAUUUGAGUGAGUGGCGGACGGGUGAGUAACACGUGGGUAACCUGCCCUAAAGUGGGGGAUAACAUUUGGAAACAGAUGCUAAUACCGCAUAAAACCUAACACCGCAUGGUGUAGGGUUGAAAGAUGGUUUCGGCUAUCACUUUGGGAUGGACCCGCGGUGCAUUAGUUAGUUGGUGAGGUAAAGGCUCACCAAGACCGUGAUGCAUAGCCGACCUAAGAGGGUAAUCGGCCACACUGGGACUGAGACACGGCCCAGACUCCUACGGAGGCAGCAGUAGGGAAUCUUCCACAAUGGACGAAAGUCUGAUGGAGCAACGCCGCGUGAGUGAAGAAGGUUUCGGAUCGUAAACUCUGUUGUUGGAGAAGAAUGUAUCUGAUAGUAACUGAUCAGGUAGUGACGGUAUCCAACCAGAAAGCCACGGCUAACUACGUG